CUACAACAUAUGCAGCACAGGAAAAUUUGGAGAACAUAAUUGUACCUCAAUCUCCAGAUAAUGUUAUUAUCCCUGAUAAAGGGAAGUAUUCUGAUAGUAACACUGCUGUGAUCUCUCAGUCUGAUGAGAGUUUGAAUACUUUGUCUGUGCAUGAUGAAUCUGCUAAGAAAGAUAAUAAUGCAGAUUCCAAUGCUAUUGAUGUGGACAAUCUCACCCUUACAGAGAGGACUCAUGCUCCUAGUACUAGGAGGUUAAGAUGCAAUGCUGGUAAGAGUGUGCCUGUUUAUAGUGUUCCUGUCAAGACUACCACGGAAAAGAAAAUAUAUGGUCUUAAAAGACAGUGGAGUAAG
Molecule: long non-coding RNA, 350 nt
Filed under: Trifolium pratense (red clover)
Lineage: Eukaryota; Viridiplantae; Streptophyta; Magnoliopsida; Fabales; Fabaceae
Description: long non-coding RNA (TPRA_LNC009364)
Source: RNAcentral